AUUGAACGCUGGCGGCAGGCCUAACACAUGCAAGUCGAGCGGCAGCGGAAGGAAGCUUGCUUUCUUGCCGGCGAGCGGCGGACGGGUGAGUAAGGUAUGGGGAUCUGGCCGAAGGCGGGGGAUAACCACUGGAAACGGUGGCUAAUACCGCAUAAUCUCUAAGGAGCAAAGUGGGGGACCGUUCAGGCCUCACACCUUCGGAUGAACCCAUAUGAGAUUAGCUAGUAGGUGGGGUAAUGGCUCACCUAGGCGACGAUCUCUAGCUGGUCUGAGAGGAUGAUCAGCCACACUGGGACUGAGACACGGCCCAGACUCCUACGGGAGGCAGCAGUGGGGAAUAUUGCACAAUGGGCGCAAGCCUGAUGCAGCCAUGCCGCGUGUAUGAAGAAGGCCUUCGGGUUGUAAAGUACUUUCAGUCGUGAGGAAGGUGUUAAGGUUAAUAACCUUAGCAAUUGACGUUAGCGACAGAAGAAGCACCGGCUAACUCCGUGCCAGCCGCCGCCGAA
This 506-nucleotide ribosomal RNA is filed under the name uncultured bacterium. RNAcentral describes it as "partial 16S ribosomal RNA". It matches the Rfam family "Bacterial small subunit ribosomal RNA", at positions 30 to 522 of the family's 1533-position model. The record is from RNAcentral.